AUGCCAGUUCUACAUAGAAAACACACAGAUGAAAAUGGAAACAGUGAAGCAAGUCAAACCCCAGGGAGAAGCAUAAGGAAGGAGUUGUUCCCAAAAGAAGUUCCUACUGGGACUAUGUUGUGUCAGUGGAUGGUGAGCUUCGCAAUCCUGCCCAAGGGGAGGAGUGAAAUGAGCUUCACAUCACUUUGGACAUGCCAAAAUCUGAAUUUCUAAUGGAUCAUGUACUCACAUCUUGCUGAUACAGGCUUGAGAUGUAUGCUAUAGGAAGUGUAAGUGUAUGAACGUAAGUGUAGGAUGGAUGAAUGUAGUUCACUGCAAGGCACUCGUACUAAUUAGUGAAGUUACUACAAGAAGCUAUCAAAAGGUAUACAGAUUGUGACAAGAUCAGCAAAGACUUGUAAUUGUGUGCAUACUUUUGUCUGCUUUAUUUAUUUAUUUAUUUAUUUAUUUAUUUUUGUAUAGUAAUUGAUGGAGAAACUGAUUGUCUCCUGAAAACAUUUCUGCAAAUUCUAAUUGUAGCCUACAGUACUGUUAGGUAUGCUCUGGAACUGAAAGCUCAGAAUGUUUGCUUUAACAUUUACUCUGUUGAACCAAAAGACAAAUGUUCUCAUGAAUAGGCAUUUUUUCC
This 628-nucleotide long non-coding RNA is filed under the name Phasianus colchicus (ring-necked pheasant). RNAcentral's name for it is "lncRNA (ENSPCLG00000003099.1)". The record is from RNAcentral. Lineage: Eukaryota; Metazoa; Chordata; Aves; Galliformes; Phasianidae.